GGCGUAAGCGCACGCAGGCGGUCUGUCAAGUCGGAUGUGAAAUCCCCGGGCUCAACCUGGGAACUGCAUCCGAAACUGGCAGGCUAGAGUCUUGUAGAGGGGGGUAGAAUUCCAGGUGUAGCGGUGAAAUGCGUAGAGAUCUGGAGGAAUACCGGUGGCGAAGGCGGCCCCCUGGACAAAGACUGACGCUCAGGUGCGAAAGCGUGGGGAGCAAACAGGAUUAGAUACCCUGGUAGUCCACGCCGUAAACGAUGUCGACUUGGAGGUUGUGCCCUUGAGGCGUGGCUUCCGGAGCUAACGCGUUAAGUCGACCGCCUGGGGAGUACGGCCGCAAGGUUAAAACUCAAAUGAAUUGACGGGGGCCCGCACAAGCGGUGGAGCAUGUGGUUUAAUUCGAUGCAACGCGAAGAACCUUACCUACUCUUGACAUCCAGAGAACUUAGUAGAGAUGCUUUGGUGCCUUCGGGAACUCUGAGACAGGUGCUGCAUGGCUGUCGUCAGCUCGUGUUGUGAAAUGUUGGGUUAAGUCCCGCAACGAGCGCAACCCUUAUCCUUUGUUGCCAGCGGUUAGGCCGGGAACUCAAAGGAGACUGCCAGUGAUAAACUGGAAGAAGGUGGGGGAUGACGUCAAGUCAUCAUGGCCCUUACGAGUAGGGCUACACACGUGCUACAAUGGCAUAUACAAAGAGAAGCGACCUCGCGAGAGCAAGCGGACCUCAUAAGUAUGUCGUAGUCCGGGAUUGGAGUCUGCAACUCGACUCCAUGAAAGUC
RNAcentral lists this ribosomal RNA (771 nucleotides) under Citrobacter freundii. Its description in RNAcentral is "bacterial SSU rRNA". It matches the Rfam family "Bacterial small subunit ribosomal RNA", at positions 557 to 1327 of the family's 1533-position model. Lineage: Bacteria; Pseudomonadati; Pseudomonadota; Gammaproteobacteria; Enterobacterales; Enterobacteriaceae. The record is from RNAcentral.